AAGAAACCCAAGCCAGUGCAAACAAUUCAAAAAAUAAUGGAACCCGAAGACAGCGAACCUUCCAGGGAUGCUAUGGACAUUUAUCCCCUCUGCUAACAUUUAUGUUUCUGUAGUUGAGGUUCAGUUAUAUCACAGUUUAGACAACUCCCUAGAAACAAUGAUCCCUGUUAAAGCUGCUCCAGGAGCACAGGAAUUCCUUUGAUGAGCUCUAAGAGAUUGGUAACAAUACCUCCUGAAGGGCCGUGUUGCUAGGUAACAGCUUGUUUCCUUGGUCACAGUGAAUCCGUGGAAGACCCCCAAAAGAGGCUGCAGAUUCUUAGUGGACAGCUCUCAUAUCCCCUCCAGGGAAAAUGAUGAAAAAUGUCUUCAGAAAAAUAGCUUUAUGAAGGCAAGAGGACUUUUUGCACCUGCAAGACAUGUCUGAAAGCUCCUCAGGUCAAAACACAAGUAGUCAAGAGAUUUGUCCAUCUAAUUCAUCAUACUACUCUGAUCCAAGUGAGACCCACACUGGGUCAGCUCCAUCAAGGAGAAGAACAUUCCACCCACGUUUGGAUUCUGGAAUAUCAUCCUUGCUUCCAUCAGAUUCUUGUAAGUACCUCACUUGGCACAAGGUAGACAUGACGUUCAAGGAAGUCAACUGCGUUGCCCAAGAGUAAGAGAAGGAAUCUCUGAAGAAGAGCAACUUUUCAGACAGGUAGAGUGUGCCUUGCUCCCAAGGAAAAGAGUUCUUGAAAAAAACAAAUGGGAAACAUGGCUACAAGAAAACUGGGAAGACUGCAAGAAAAUCUCAGAAUCUGCUUGAGAAUCCGGUCCUUCUUCCUCCAUACACCCAUGGAACACUCCCAAACUCUGUAUGCUGCUCACUAAUUCUGAUUAAGGUCUUCACCCUCCCUACCUUGGAAAUUGCUACAACAUAAUUGUGUUU
RNAcentral lists this long non-coding RNA (925 nucleotides) under Homo sapiens (human). Its description in RNAcentral is "HSALNT0063810". Lineage: Eukaryota; Metazoa; Chordata; Mammalia; Primates; Hominidae. The record is from RNAcentral.